This is a long non-coding RNA of Nerophis lumbriciformis (worm pipefish), 2179 nucleotides long. RefSeq lists it as uncharacterized. The record is from RefSeq and is a predicted model, not a curated record. Lineage: Eukaryota; Metazoa; Chordata; Actinopteri; Syngnathiformes; Syngnathidae.
UCCUGCCUCUCUUUAAAUGUAAAGCUGCCUCUGCUGCACCUGUGACGUUUGCCGCCUGCCGUGCAAUGCCAGUGCGCACUGGGCAUCAAAAGCGCAGAUAGAGGCAAAACAAUGUCACAAAAAAGGACAUAUCCUUCAGGUGCAGAAAAAAGGAAGAAGAAGAAAGUGGAAGAGGAGAAAAAAUGCCACGAUAAAGGAGCAUUGUUAAAAUACUUUGGAGGCACAGAAUCAGCCCAGAGCCAGUCCACAUCCUCAGGCUCAACUGUGAGUGAUGAAUCAGCUAGCUAGCAGCUAGCUGCUAAGCUAACGAAGCUAGCGCGGAGAAAGGCGUCGCUGGGCGCCGGUCAGAAGGAGUCUACUCCUGCACACCGUGACCAGGACUUCUCGGAAGACAGCAGGAACUUCACUCGGUGACAGAAAACACCGUGAGUAUGGCUUCCUGCGCGUCUUGCACCUUACUCACGGAGAGGCUGGCUCUGCUAGAGGGCCGUGUCCGCCAGUUAGAGCAGAGUAAUCUCGUAACUUUAGAUGUUGCGGACACAUCUGCUAGCGUUAGCUGUAGCGAGCUAACUAGCCCAGCCUGUAGCAGUCCUAAGCGGCCUACAAGCUACGGUGUACCGGUUGAGACGCAUAAUAGAUUUAGUUCUUUAGCUAGUCCUACACCCCAGUCUACCGGGCACCACACCUUAGUCAUAGGGGACUCCAUCACCCGAAACAUAAAGCUUAGCAAACCAGCCACAAUUAAGUGCAUCCCGGGGGCCCGAGCACCUGACAUUGAGGCUAAUCUUAGGGAGCUAACUCGCAACAGGCCUAGUAAACACGUACGACAGGCUAAUCGCACCACUAGUUAUGCGAAUAUAGUUGUACACGUUGGCUCCAAUGACACUAGAAUGAGACAGUCAGAGAUUACAAAGAGAAACAUAGCCAGGACUUGUGAUCUCGCUAGAAAGAUGUCCAGGCAUCGAGUAAUUGUCUCUGGCCCCCUGCCUGCGAGAGGCAAUGAUGAGAGAUAUAGCAGAUUAGUCUAGCUUAACAAGUGGCUGGCUAGCUUCUGUAGACAACAGGGACUAACGUUUAUUGAUAAUUGGCCCUCUUUCUGGGGCAAACCAGGCUUGCUGAUGAGGGACGGCCUUCACCCUAACCAGGAAGGCGCCAUCAUCCUGUCUAAGAAUAUAGACUACUGUUUAAGUCACAUUUGACUAACUACACUAGAGCAAGCCCGGUCACAGGCAAUUACAGAGCCUGCUAGUCCGGGUGAGGAGUCAGUUAAGCUAGAACUAGCCAGCACCAGGCUGGAUAAUUCCUGUACGCAUAGCAAUUUUCUUAGAAUAACACACAACUCACAUAAUGUGUUUUCUGUUGUGAAUGUGUCCGGGGUAGAUAUGCAUUCUACUGAGGUGGCAAAUCAUGAUGCGUUCAGUCGAUCGCAGCAUCAAGUAAACAAUCUGAAAAUUCCCGUCGUAUCAAUUCCUAGAUAUGGUCGAAACUAUUUAAAGUGCACUACGUAUAAUAAACGCAACAUUAUUAAUAUUUCUACUACGGAUAAUUUAAACAAAAACUCAUCAAAACAGCCCAAUACUUAUAAUAUGGGCUUUUUAAACAUAAGAUCAUUGUCUCCCAAAACGUUAUUAGUUAAUGAGGUCAUUAGAGACAACAAUCUUAACGUCAUUGGUCUUAGCGAAACCUGGCUCAAACUAGACAAAUUUUUUGCGCUAAAUGAGGCAUCUCCUCCUAACUAUACGAAUGCGCAUAUUGCCCGCCCCCUUAAAAGGGGUGGGGGGGGUCGCACUAAUAUACAAUGAAAACUUUAACCUUACCCCUAACCUAAAUAAUAAAUACAAAUCGUUUGAGGUGCUUACUAUGAGGUCUGUCGCACCGCUGCCUCUCGAUAUGGCUGUUAUCUACCGCCCCCCAGGGCCCUACUCGGACUUUAUUAAUGAAUUCUCAGAGUUCGUUGCUGAUCUAGUGACGCACGCAGACAAUAUAAUCAUAAUGGGGGACUUUAAUAUCCAUAUGAAUAACCCAUCGGACCCUCAGUGCGUGGCGCUCCAGACUAUAAUUGAUAGCUGUGGUCUUACACAAAUAAUAAAUGAACCUACGCAUCGCAACGGCAAUACGAUAGAUCUAGUGCUGGUCAGGGGUGUCACCACCUCCAAAGUUAUGGUACUCCCGUAUACUA